This is a small nuclear RNA of Jaculus jaculus (lesser Egyptian jerboa), 107 nucleotides long. The record is from Ensembl. NCBI's taxonomy places the organism in Eukaryota, Metazoa, Chordata, Mammalia, Rodentia, Dipodidae.
GUGCUUGCUUUGGCAGCACAUAUACUAAAAUUGGAACAAUACAGAGAAGAUUAUCAGGCCCCCUGCUCAAGGAUGACACACAAAUUUAUGAAGCAGUCCAUAUUUUA